UUUUAUGGAGAGUUUGAUCCUGGCUCAGGAUGAACGCUGGCGGCGUGCCUAAUACAUGCAAGUCGAGCGAACGGACGAGAAGCUUGCUUCUCUGAUGUUAGCGGCGGACGGGUGAGUAACACGUGGAUAACCUACCUAUAAGACUGGGAUAACUUCGGGAAACCG
Molecule: ribosomal RNA, 165 nt
Filed under: Staphylococcus aureus
Lineage: Bacteria; Bacillati; Bacillota; Bacilli; Caryophanales; Staphylococcaceae
Description: partial 16S ribosomal RNA
Rfam family: Bacterial small subunit ribosomal RNA
Source: RNAcentral